RNAcentral lists this long non-coding RNA (283 nucleotides) under Elaeis guineensis (African oil palm). RNAcentral's name for it is "long non-coding RNA (EGUI_LNC024182)". The record is from RNAcentral. Lineage: Eukaryota; Viridiplantae; Streptophyta; Magnoliopsida; Arecales; Arecaceae.
CGGCAGUUGAAUCCACGAAGAUCUCACUCUGUGUGGUGAGCAAGGCCAAGGUAAGCUAUUUGUUGGUUGUUUAAAAUAGAGUGUCAUCGUUGUUAGGAUUUGGGGUGGACCUUAUGCGUAACCACCAUUGGACAUCAUGGAUGGGCACAAUUUGAAUUUUCUCCUCUGUCAAGUCUAGGAAGGAUAGGUCAGUCAUAACCGAAAAGGCCUAGUCCCUAGCAUGUACUGAGAUCAGUGUCUUACCCCUGUAAUAGGAUCCGUUAAAUCUACAAGACUAUAUAGC